UACGUAGGCAGCGAGCGUUGUUCGGAGUUACUGGGCGUAAAGAGUGCGUAGGCGGUUUUCUAAGUUUGGUGUGAAAUCUCCCGGCUUAACUGGGAGGGUGCGCCGAAGACUGGAAGGCUUGAGUAUGGGAGAGGUAAGCGGAAUUCCUGGUGUAGCGGUGAAAUGCGCAGAUAUCAGGAGGAACACCAAUUGCGAAGGCAGCUCGCUGGGACGUUACUGACGCUGAGACGCGAAAGCGUGGGGAGCGAACAGG
Molecule: ribosomal RNA, 253 nt
Filed under: uncultured bacterium
Lineage: Bacteria
Description: partial 16S ribosomal RNA
Rfam family: Bacterial small subunit ribosomal RNA
Source: RNAcentral